UCACCUAAUGAGACCUUCAUAUUAGGCCCACCUGCCCAGUGAUAUUUAACGGCCGCAGUACCCUGACUGUGCAAAGGUAGUAUAUAAAACGCCUCCUAAUUAGAGGAUAUUACAAAUGAUCACACACAAAUUACCUGUCUCUAAUCCUCACCCUCAAACUUAUAUACAAGUGCAAAAGCUUGUAUUAUUUAAAAAGACAAAAAGUCCCUCGGAACUUUCAUUAUGGUAUUUAUCUUAAAUUUCACAAUUUUAAUUGGGGAAAUUUAUAUUUUAAACAAUAUAUAUAUCUACGAUCCUCUCUAUACUUAUCUAUCAUACAAAUUUUAGUAAGCUACCCGAGGGAUAACAGGCUAAUAUUUUUCAAGAGUCCAUAUCUACAACAAUAAUUAGCACCUCGAUGUUGGCUUAGGGCAUCUAUUCCAAGCACAAAUGAAAUAAGUGGGUUUGUUCAACCCUUAAUCCCCU
This 465-nucleotide ribosomal RNA is filed under the name Prosphaerosyllis sp. MTA-2006. RNAcentral describes it as "partial 16S ribosomal RNA". It matches the Rfam family "Bacterial large subunit ribosomal RNA", at positions 1830 to 2597 of the family's 2925-position model. The record is from RNAcentral. Lineage: Eukaryota; Metazoa; Annelida; Polychaeta; Phyllodocida; Syllidae.